This 301-nucleotide ribosomal RNA is filed under the name uncultured bacterium. RNAcentral's name for it is "partial 16S ribosomal RNA". It matches the Rfam family "Bacterial small subunit ribosomal RNA", at positions 509 to 807 of the family's 1533-position model. The record is from RNAcentral.
CAGUCGCCACGGUAAAACGUAGGGUGCGAGCGUUAAUCGGAAUUACUGGGCGUAAAGCGUGCGCAGGCGGUUAUAUAAGACAGAUGUGAAAUCCCCGGGCUCAACCUGGGACCUGCAUUUGUGACUGUAUAGCUAGAGUAUGGCAGAGGGGGGUAGAAUUCCACGUGUAGCAGUGAAAUGCGUAGAGAUGUGGAGGAAUACCGAUGGCGAGGGCAGCCCCCUGGGCCAAUACUGACGCUCAUGCACGAAAGCGUGGGGAGCAAACAGGAUUAGAUACCCCCGUAGUCCCUGUCUCUUAUAC